AUAGGAAUGCUUAGUGGCGGACUGGUGAGUAACGCGUGAGGAACUUGCCUUUCAGAGGGGGACAACAGUUGGAAACGACUGCUAAUACCGCAUGAUGCAGUUGGGUCGCAUGGCUCUGACUGCCAAAGAUUUAUCGCUCUGAGAUGGCCUCGCGUCUGAUUAGCUAGUUGGUAGGGUAACGGCCUACCAAGGCGACGAUCAGUAGCCGGACUGAGAGGUUGACCGGCCACAUUGGGACUGAGACACGGCCCAGACUCC
RNAcentral lists this ribosomal RNA (258 nucleotides) under uncultured Oscillospiraceae bacterium. RNAcentral's name for it is "partial 16S ribosomal RNA". It matches the Rfam family "Bacterial small subunit ribosomal RNA", at positions 82 to 339 of the family's 1533-position model. Lineage: Bacteria; Bacillati; Bacillota; Clostridia; Eubacteriales; Oscillospiraceae. The record is from RNAcentral.